CAGUCGCCGCGGUAAUACAGAGGUCUCAAGCGUUGUUCGGAUUCAUUGGGCGUAAAGGGCGCGUAGGCGGUCGGGUAAGUCGGAUGUGAAAUCCUGGGGCUCAACCUCAGAACUGCAUUCGAUACUGCUUGGCUAGAGGACUGGAGAGGAGACUGGAAUUCACGGCGUAGCAGUGAAAUGCGUAGAUAUCGUGAGGAAGACCAGCGGCGAAGGCGGGUCUCUGGACAGUUCCUGACGCUGAUGCACGAAGGCCAGGGGAGCAAACGGGAUUAGAUACCCGAGUAGUCCCUGUCUCUUAUAC
RNAcentral lists this ribosomal RNA (301 nucleotides) under uncultured bacterium. Its description in RNAcentral is "partial 16S ribosomal RNA". It matches the Rfam family "Bacterial small subunit ribosomal RNA", at positions 509 to 807 of the family's 1533-position model. The record is from RNAcentral.